Molecule: long non-coding RNA, 319 nt
Filed under: Brassica napus (rape)
Lineage: Eukaryota; Viridiplantae; Streptophyta; Magnoliopsida; Brassicales; Brassicaceae
Description: long non-coding RNA (BNAP_LNC024272)
Source: RNAcentral
AACCGACAAAACAGUUUCUUUGUGCUGUAUACUGAUUUUAAAAUAUAGUGUUAUUUGCUAUGGUCCGUACAUGUCGGUUCUUGCUUCUGGCUAUCCUUGCAAGGCUAUCCAAUCGCUUACCUAUUCAUAGAUGACAUUAUUUAAAUGGAAUAGAAUCAUUAUCAUUAUUGAUACUAUAUCUAUAGUCAUUAUUAAAUAAUGGAAAAUCUAAUGCUAUUAUUUUUGGUAAAGAAUCUAACAUUAUUAUUAGUUCACAUCAAACUUUAAAAAGGGUGGACAUGCGAGGAACCUACCAUUGCAGCUACCAAUGCGAAGCUGG